RNAcentral lists this ribosomal RNA (440 nucleotides) under uncultured bacterium. RNAcentral describes it as "partial 16S ribosomal RNA". It matches the Rfam family "Bacterial small subunit ribosomal RNA", at positions 338 to 795 of the family's 1533-position model. The record is from RNAcentral.
UCUACGGGUGGCAGCAGUGGGGAAUAUUGCACAAUGGGGGAAACCCUGAUGCAGCGACGCCGCGUGAGUGAAGAAGCAUCUCGGUAUGUAAAGCUCUAUCAGCAGGGAAGAAAAAGACGGUAACUGAAUAAGAAGCCCCGGCUAACUACGUGCCAGCAGCCGCGGUAAGACGUAGGGGGGAAGCGUUAACCGGAUUUACUGGGUGUAAAGGGAGCGUAGAAGGCGCUGGAAGGCCGGAGUGAAAGCCCACGGCUUAACCCUGGUACUGCUCUGGAAACUGUGGAGCUUGAGUGCGGGAGGGGCAGGCGGAAUUCCUAGUGUAGCGGUGAAAUGCGUAGAUAUUAGGAGGAACACCGGCGGCGAAGGCGGCCUGCUGGACCGUAACUGACGUUGAGGCUCGAAAGCGUGGGGAGCAAACAGGAUUAGAUACCCCUGUAGUC